This 467-nucleotide ribosomal RNA is filed under the name uncultured bacterium. Its description in RNAcentral is "partial 16S ribosomal RNA". It matches the Rfam family "Bacterial small subunit ribosomal RNA", at positions 28 to 506 of the family's 1533-position model. The record is from RNAcentral.
GACGAACGCUGGCGGCGUGCUUAACACAUGCCAGUCGAACGGAAAGGCCCUGCUUUUGUGGUGUGCUCGAGUGGCGAACGGGUGAGUAACACGUGAGUAACCUGCCCUUGACUUUGGGAUAACUUCAUGAAACUGGGGCUAAUACCGGAUAGGAGCUCCUGCUGCAUGGUGGGGGGUGGAAAGUUUCGGCGGUUGGGGAUGGACUCGCGGCUUAUCAGCUUGUUGGUGGGGUAGUGUCUUACCAAGGCUUUGACGGGUAGCCGGCCUGGGAGGGUGACCGGCCACAUAGGGACUGAGAUACGGCCCAGACUCAAACGGGAGGAAGCAGUGGGGAAUAUUGCACAAUGGGCGGAAGCCGGAUGCAGCAACGCCGCGUGCGGGAGGACGGCCUUCGGGUUGGAAAACGCUUUCGCCUGUGACGAAGCGUGAGGGAGGGUAAUGGGUAAAGAAGCACCGGCUACCUACGU